UGGGGAAUAUUGCACAAUGGGGGAAACCCUGAUGCAGCGACGCCGCGUGAGCGAAGAAGGUUUUCGAAUCGUAAAGCUCUGUCCUAUGAGAAGAUAAUGACGGUAUCAUAGGAGGAAGCCCCGGCUAAAUACGUGCCAGCAGCCGCGGUAAUACGUAGGUGGCAAGCGUUGUCCGGAAUUAUUGGGCGUAAAGCGCGCGCAGGUGGUUUAGAAAGUCUGAUGUGAAAGCCCACGGCUCAACCGUGGAGGGUCAUUGGAAACUAAUAAACGUGAGUGCAGGAGAGAAAAGUGGAAUUCCUAGUGUAGCGGUGAAAUGCGUAGAGAUUAGGAGGAACACCGGUGGCGAAAGCGGCUUUUUGGCCUGCAACUGACACUGAGGCGCGAAAGCGUGGGGAGCAAACAGG
Molecule: ribosomal RNA, 404 nt
Filed under: Verrucomicrobiota bacterium
Lineage: Bacteria; Pseudomonadati; Verrucomicrobiota
Description: Verrucomicrobia bacterium partial 16S ribosomal RNA
Rfam family: Bacterial small subunit ribosomal RNA
Source: RNAcentral